AGAGUUUGAUCCUGGCUCAGGAUGAACGCUAGCGACAGGCUUAACACAUGCAAGUCGAGGGGCAGCGAGGAAGUGGCAACACUUCCGUCGGCGACCGGCGCACGGGUGAGUAACGCGUAUGCAACCUGCCCUUCACAGGGGGAUAACCGGGAGAAAUUCCGACUAAUACCGCAUACGUCCUCCGGGGGCAUCCCCGGGGGAUGAAAGAAUUAUCGGUGAAGGAUGGGCAUGCGUGAUAUUAGGUAGUUGGCGGGGCAACGGCCCACCAAGCUCACGAUAUCUAGGGGUUCUGAGAGGAAGGUCCCCCACAUUGGUACUGAGACACGGACCAAACUCCUACGGGAGGCAGCAGUGAGGAAUAUUGGUCAAUGGACGAGAGUCUGAACCAGCCAAGUCGCGUGAAGGAAGACGGAUCUAUGGUUUGUAAACUUCUUUAGUGCGGGAACAAAGCGGCGUCGUGACGCCGGAUGAGUGUACCGCAAGAAUAAGCAUCGGCUAACUCCGUGCCAGCAGCCGCGGUAAUACGGAGGAUGCGAGCGUUAUCCGGAUUUAUUGGGUUUAAAGGGAGCGUAGAUGGAUGUUUAAGUCAGUUGUGAAAGUUUGCGGCUCAACCGUAAAAUUGCAGUUGAUACUGGAUAUCUUGAGUGCAGUUGAGGCAGGCGGAAUUCGUGGUGUAGCGGUGAAAUGCUUAGAUAUCACGAAGAACUCCGAUUGCGAAGGCAGCCUGCUAAGCUGCAACUGACAUUGAGGCUCGAAAGUGUGGGUAUCAAACAGGAUUAGAUACCCUGGUAGUCCACACGGUAAACGAUGAAUACUCGCUGUUUGCGAUAUACGGCAAGCGGCCAAGCGAAAGCGUUAAGUAUUCCACCUGGGGAGUACGCCGGCAACGGUGAAACUCAAAGGAAUUGACGGGGACCCGCACAAGUAGCGGAGCAUGUGGUUUAAUUCGAAGCAACGCGAAGAACCUUACCUAAGCUUGACAUCCUUUUGACCGAUGCCUAAUCGCAUUUUUCCCUUCGGGGACAGAAGUGACAGGUGGUGCAUGGUUGUCGUCAGCUCGUGUCGUGAGAUGUUGGGUUAAGUCCCGCAACGAGCGCAACCCUUGCCUUUAGUUGCCAUCAUUAAGUUGGGCACUCUAGAGGGACUGCCAGGGAUAACCUGGAGGAAGGUGGGGAUGACGUCAAAUCAUCAUGCCCCUUAUGCUUAGGGCUACACACGUGCUACAAUGGGUGGUACAGAGGGCAGCGAAGUCGUGAGGCCAAGCUAAUCCCUUAAAGCCAUUCUCAGUUCGGAAAAUAGGCUGAAACUCGCUUACAUGAAGCUGGAGUUACUAGUAAUCGCAGAUCAGAAUGCUGCGGUGAAU
RNAcentral lists this ribosomal RNA (1363 nucleotides) under uncultured bacterium. Its description in RNAcentral is "partial 16S ribosomal RNA". It matches the Rfam family "Bacterial small subunit ribosomal RNA", at positions 8 to 1367 of the family's 1533-position model. The record is from RNAcentral.